GAUGAACGCUGGCGGCGUGCCUAAUACAUGCAAGUCGAGCGAACAGACGAGGAGCUUGCUCCUCUGACGUUAGCGGCGGACGGGUGAGUAACACGUGGAUAACCUACCUAUAAGACUGGGAUAACUUCGGGAAACUGGAGCUAAUACCGGAUAAUAUAUUGAACCGCAUGGUUCAAUAGUGAAAGACGGUUUUGCUGUCACUUAUAGAUGGAUCCGCGCCGCAUUAGCUAGUUGGUAAGGUAACAGCUUACCAAGGCAACGAUGCGUAGCCGACCUGAGAGGGUGAUCGGCCACACUGGAACUGAGACACGGUCCAGACUCCUACGGGAGGCAGCAGUAGGGAAUCUUCCGCAAUGGGCGAAAGCCUGACGGAGCAACGCCGCGUGAGUGAUGAAGGUCUUCGGAUCGUAAAACUCUGUUAUUAGGGAAGAACAAAUGUGUAAGUAACUAUGCACGUCUUGACGGUACCUAAUCAGAAAGCCACGGCUAACUACGUG
RNAcentral lists this ribosomal RNA (497 nucleotides) under uncultured bacterium. RNAcentral describes it as "partial 16S ribosomal RNA". It matches the Rfam family "Bacterial small subunit ribosomal RNA", at positions 28 to 507 of the family's 1533-position model. The record is from RNAcentral.